RNAcentral lists this ribosomal RNA (357 nucleotides) under uncultured bacterium. RNAcentral's name for it is "partial 16S ribosomal RNA". It matches the Rfam family "Bacterial small subunit ribosomal RNA", at positions 338 to 692 of the family's 1533-position model. The record is from RNAcentral.
CCUACGGGUGGCAGCAGUGAGGAAUAUUGGUCAAUGGGCGUAAGCCUGAACCAGCCAAGUCGCGUGCGGGAUGAAGGUUCUAUGGAUCGUAAACCUCUUUUAUAAGGGAAUCAAGUGCGGGACGUGUCCAGUUUUGUAUGUACCUUAUGAAUAAGGCUCGGCUAACUACGUGCCAGCAGCCGCGGUAAUACGGAGGAUCCGAGCGUUAUCCGGAUUUGUUGGGUUUAAAGGGUGCGUAGGCGGCUUUUUAAGUCAGCGGUGAAAGUCUGUGGCGCAACCAUAGAAUUGCCGUUGAAACUGGGAGCCUUGAGUAUGUUUGAGGCAGGCGGAAUGCGUGGUGUAGCGGUGAAAUGCUUA